AACGAACGCUGGCGGCGUGCUUAACACAUGCAAGUCGAGCGGUAAAGGCCCUUUCGGGGGUACACGAGCGGCGAACGGGUGAGUAACACGUGGGUGACCUGCCCUCAGCUCUGGGAUAAGCCUGGGAAACCGGGUCUAAUACUGGAUAUGACUCCAUGACGCAUGUUGUGGGGUGGAAAGCCUUGUGCGGCUGAGGAUGGGCCCGCGGCCUAUCAGC
This 217-nucleotide ribosomal RNA is filed under the name uncultured bacterium. RNAcentral's name for it is "partial 16S ribosomal RNA". It matches the Rfam family "Bacterial small subunit ribosomal RNA", at positions 29 to 245 of the family's 1533-position model. The record is from RNAcentral.